Molecule: non-coding RNA, 135 nt
Organism: Triticum aestivum (bread wheat)
Lineage: Eukaryota; Viridiplantae; Streptophyta; Magnoliopsida; Poales; Poaceae
Source: Rfam
CGAGCACUCCCGCCGUUAUAAAAUCCUUGUCUUAGACUUGUUUAAAUACAGAUGUAUUUAAUUACGUUUUAGUAUUAGAUACAUUCAUAUCUAAACAAAUUUAAGACAUGAAUUUUGGGACCGAGGGAGUAGUCC